Molecule: ribosomal RNA, 354 nt
Filed under: uncultured Anoxybacillus sp.
Lineage: Bacteria; Bacillati; Bacillota; Bacilli; Caryophanales; Anoxybacillaceae
Description: bacterial SSU rRNA
Rfam family: Bacterial small subunit ribosomal RNA
Source: RNAcentral
GGGUGACAGGUGGUGCGAUGGUUGUCGUCAGCUCGUGUCGUGAGAUGUUGGGUUAAGUCCCGCAACGAGCGCAACCCUCGACCUUAGUUGCCAGCAUUCAGUUGGGCACUCUAAGGUGACUGCCGGCUAAAAAGUCGGAGGAAGGUGGGGAUGACGUCAAAUCAUCAUGCCCCUUAUGACCUGGGCUACACACGUGCUACAAUGGGCGGUACAAAGGGUCGCGAACCCGCGAGGGGGAGCCAAUCCCAAAAAGCCGCUCUCAGUUCGGAUUGCAGGCUGCAACUCGCCUGCAUGAAGCCGGAAUCGCUAGUAAUCGCGGAUCAGCAUGCCGCGGUGAAUACGUUCCCGGGCCUU